CCCGCUGAACUUAAGCAUAUCAAUAAGCGGAGGAAAAGAAACUGACAAGGAUUCCCCUAGUAACUGCGAGUGAAGCGGGAAGAGCUCAAAUUUGAAAUCUGGCGGUCUCUGGGCGUCAGAGGUGUUCUUUAGAGAAGCGUCUUCCGCGCCAGACCGUGCACGACUCUCCUGGAAUGGAGCAUCAUAGAGGGUGAGAAUCCCGCCUAUGGCAAGGAUCCCUGCGCUUCUGUGAAGCGCUCUCGAAGAGUCAAGUUGUUUGGGAGUGCAGCUCAAAAUGGGUGGAGAACUCCAUCUAGAUCUAAAUAUUGACAAAAGACCGAUAGCGAACAAGUGCCGUGAGGAAAAGAUGAAAAGCGCUUUGAAAAGAGAGUGAAACAGUGCAUGAAAUUGUUGAAAGGGAAACGCUUGAAGUCAGUCGCGUUGACGCGACACUCACCCUUGCCUCGACUUGGUGUACUUAUGGGCUCGACGGGUCAGCAUCGAUUUUGCCCCUCAGAUAAUGACCAGGGAAAGGUGGCACCUUUGCGGCUGUGGUAUACACUCCUGUCGACUGCGAAACGCGGCAUUGAGGAAGUCAGCGUGUACCUCGGUGCCCGCUCUUCAUGCCACGUCACUCGCUUAGGACGCAUGCGUCAUGACCUUAGACGACCCGUCUUGAAACACGG
This 665-nucleotide ribosomal RNA is filed under the name uncultured fungus. RNAcentral describes it as "eukaryotic LSU rRNA". It matches the Rfam family "Eukaryotic large subunit ribosomal RNA", at positions 24 to 664 of the family's 3401-position model. The record is from RNAcentral. Lineage: Eukaryota; Fungi.